This 212-nucleotide ribosomal RNA is filed under the name uncultured bacterium. RNAcentral describes it as "partial 16S ribosomal RNA". It matches the Rfam family "Bacterial small subunit ribosomal RNA", at positions 524 to 734 of the family's 1533-position model. The record is from RNAcentral.
UACGGGGGGAGCAAGCGUUGUUCGGAUUUACUGGGCGUAAAGGGCGCGUAGGCGGUCAGCACAAGUCAGUUGUGAAAUCUCCGGGCUUAACUCGGAAAGGUCAACUGAUACUGUGCGACUAGAGUGCAGAAGGGGCAACUGGAAUUCUCGGUGUAGCGGUGAAAUGCGUAGAUAUCGAGAGGAACACCUGCGGCGAAGGCGGGUUGCUGGGC